GGGCCCGCACAAGCAGCGGAGCAUGUGGUUUAAUUCGAAGCAACGCGAAGAACCUUACCAAGACUUGACAUCCCUUGAAGUUGGUAGAAAUAUCAACGCCCUUCGGGGCAAGGAGACAGGUGGUGCAUGGUUGUCGUCAGCUCGUGUCGUGAGAUGUUGGGUUAAGUCCCGCAACGAGCGCAACCCUUGUUAAUAGUUGCCAGUAUUAAGUUAGGCACUCUAUUGAGACUGCCGUGGACAACACGGAGGAAGGUGGGGACGACGUCAAAUCAUCAUGCCCCUUAUGUCUUGGGCUACACACGUGCUACAAUGGCGGUAACAGAGGGCAGCAAAGCCGUAAGGUGGAGCGAAUCUCAAAAAAACCGUCUCAGUUCGGAUUGUGGGCUGCAACCCGCCCACAUGAAGUUGGAGUUGCUAGUAAUCGCGGAUCAGCAUGCCGCGGUGAAUGCGUUCCCGGGCCUU
This 462-nucleotide ribosomal RNA is filed under the name uncultured bacterium. RNAcentral describes it as "bacterial SSU rRNA". It matches the Rfam family "Bacterial small subunit ribosomal RNA", at positions 917 to 1382 of the family's 1533-position model. The record is from RNAcentral.